GAUGAACGCUAGCUACAGGCUUAACACAUGCAAGUCGCAGGGUAACAUGAGGAAAGCUUGCUUUCCUUGAUGACGACUGGCGCACGGGUGAGUAACGCGUAUCCAACCUUCCCAUAACUACGGGAUAACCCGUUGAAAGACGGCCUAAUACCGUAUGAUAUCGUUUGCUGACAUCAAAUAACGAUUAAAGGUUUAGCGGUUAUGGAUGGGGAUGCGUCUGAUUAGCUUGUUGGCGGGGUAACGGCCCACCAAGGCAACGAUCAGUAGGGGUUCUGAGAGGAAGGUCCCCCACAUUGGAACUGAGACACGGUCCAAACUCCUACGGGAGGCAGCAGUGAGGAAUAUUGGUCAAUGGGCGAGAGCCUGAACCAGCCAAGUAGCGUGCAGGAUGACGGCCCUAUGGGUUGUAAACUGCUUUUAUGUGGGGAUAAAGUGCGUGACGUGUCAUGCAUUGCAGGUACCACAUGAAUAAGGACCGGCUAAUUCCGUGCCAGCAGCCGCGGUA
This 505-nucleotide ribosomal RNA is filed under the name uncultured Bacteroidales bacterium. RNAcentral's name for it is "bacterial SSU rRNA". It matches the Rfam family "Bacterial small subunit ribosomal RNA", at positions 28 to 522 of the family's 1533-position model. The record is from RNAcentral. Lineage: Bacteria; Pseudomonadati; Bacteroidota; Bacteroidia; Bacteroidales.